This 478-nucleotide ribosomal RNA is filed under the name uncultured bacterium. Its description in RNAcentral is "partial 16S ribosomal RNA". It matches the Rfam family "Bacterial small subunit ribosomal RNA", at positions 28 to 523 of the family's 1533-position model. The record is from RNAcentral.
GACGAACGCUGGCGGCGUGCUUAACACAUGCAAGUCGAACGGUAAGGCCCUUCGGGGUACACGAGUGGCGAACGGGUGAGUAACUCGUGGGUGAUCUGCCCCGCACUUCGGGAUAAGCCUGGGAAACUGGGUCUAAUACCGGAUAGGACCACUGCCUGCAUGGGUGGUGGUGGAAAGCUUUUGCGGUGUGGGAUGGGCCCGCGGCCUAUCAGCUUGUUGGUGGGGUGAUGGCCUACCAAGGCGACGACGGGUAGCCGGCCUGAGAGGGUGACCGGCCACACUGGGACUGAGAUACGGCCCAGACUCCUACGGGAGGCAGCAGUGGGGAAUAUUGCACAAUGGGCGCAAGCCUGAUGCAGCGACGCCGCGUGAGGGAUGACGGCCUUCGGGUUGUAAACCUCUUUCAGCACCGACGAAGCGCAAGUGACGGUAGGUGCAGAAGAAGGACCGGCCAACUACGUGCGAGCCGCCGCAGUAA